Molecule: transfer RNA, 82 nt
Filed under: Micromonospora andamanensis
Lineage: Bacteria; Bacillati; Actinomycetota; Actinomycetes; Micromonosporales; Micromonosporaceae
Description: tRNA-Arg
Source: RNAcentral
GCCGCCGCGUGGUCUGCCUGCGGGCCCCGGCGGCUACGGCCCGCCGGACGGCCCGGGCGGUUACGGUCCGCCCGACGGCCCC